RNAcentral lists this ribosomal RNA (433 nucleotides) under uncultured bacterium. Its description in RNAcentral is "partial 16S ribosomal RNA". It matches the Rfam family "Bacterial small subunit ribosomal RNA", at positions 29 to 507 of the family's 1533-position model. The record is from RNAcentral.
AACGAACGCUGGCGGCAUGCCUAACACAUGCAAGUCGAACGAGACCUUCGGGUCUAGUGGCGCACGGGUGCGUAACGCGUGGGAACCUGCCCUUAGGUUCGGAAUAACUCCCCGACAGGGGUGCUAAUACCGGAUAAUGUCUUCGGACCAAAGAUUUAUCGCCUUUGGAUGGGCACGCGUUGGAUUAGCUAGUUGGUAGGGUAAAAGCCUACCAAGGCGACGAUCAAUAGCUGGUCUGAGAGACUGGUCAGCCACACUGGGACUGAGACGCGGCCCAGACUCCUACGGGAUGCAGCAGUGGGGAAUAUUGGACAAUGGGCGAAAUGCUGAUCCAGCAAUGCCGCGUGAGUGAUGAAGGCCUUAGGGUUGUAAAGCUCUUUUAACCGGGAUGAUAAUGACAGUACCGGGAGAAUAAGCUCCGGCUAACUCCGUG